Molecule: long non-coding RNA, 316 nt
Organism: Vespa crabro (European hornet)
Lineage: Eukaryota; Metazoa; Arthropoda; Insecta; Hymenoptera; Vespidae
Exons: 2
Source: RefSeq, a predicted model, not a curated record
UGUUGCUACUGUAUUGAACAUUAUCACUAAGUCAGAAGCUAUAUCAGCAGGUAUAUCUUCAACGGAUGUAACUCUUAUUAUUAAAUCUUCAACCAUAGAAUUAGCAAUGCAUCCUGUCAGAAAUAUCAGCAAAAACGCGAGGUAGAACAUCUAACCAGACGGUCUUCAACAAUUCUAAUUGUCUGAUACAUUGUCUCAAUGCACGUUCAGUUGACGAAGGUAAUUCAGAAACUUGACCUAGAGCUGCUAAACCUAGUUACAUUUACAGUUUCGAUUGUUAUAAAUUGUCUUUAAAAAUUAUAUUAUUUACAUUGGA